CCCUUAGAUGCUCUGGGCCGCACGCGCGCUACACUGAUGCAUUCAACGAGCCUAUCCUUGACUGACAGGUCCGGGUAAUCUUUGAAUCUGCAUCGUGACGGGGAUAGAUUAUUGCAAUUAUUAAUCUUCAACGAGGAAUGCCUAGUAGGCGCAAGUCAUCAGCUUGCGUCGAUUACGUCCCUGCCCUUUGUACACACCGCCCGUCGCUCCUACCGAUUGGGUGUGCUGGUGAAAUGUUCGGAUCGGCCGUUUGUCGCGGUUUCCGCGUCAUGUGGCUGAGAAGUUCAUUAAACCCUCCCACCUAGAGGAAGGAGAAGUCGUAACA
Molecule: ribosomal RNA, 325 nt
Filed under: uncultured eukaryote
Lineage: Eukaryota
Description: partial 18S ribosomal RNA
Rfam family: Eukaryotic small subunit ribosomal RNA
Source: RNAcentral